Molecule: ribosomal RNA, 2925 nt
Filed under: Salmonella enterica subsp. enterica
Lineage: Bacteria; Pseudomonadati; Pseudomonadota; Gammaproteobacteria; Enterobacterales; Enterobacteriaceae
Description: bacterial LSU rRNA
Rfam family: Bacterial large subunit ribosomal RNA
Source: RNAcentral
GGGUUGUGAGGUUAAGCGACUAAGCGUACACGGUGGAUGCCCUGGCAGUCAGAGGCGAUGAAGGGCGUGCUAAUCUGCGAUAAGCGCCGGUAAGGUGAUAUGAACCGUUAUAACCGGCGAUACCCGAAUGGGGAAACCCAGUGUGACUCGUCACACUAUCAUUAACUGAAUCCAUAGGUUAAUGAGGCGAACCGGGGGAACUGAAACAUCUAAGUACCCCGAGGAAAAGAAAUCAACCGAGAUUCCCCCAGUAGCGGCGAGCGAACGGGGAGGAGCCCAGAGCCUGAAUCAGCAUGUGUGUUAGUGGAAGCGUCUGGAAAGGCGCGCGAUACAGGGUGACAGCCCCGUACACAAAAGCGCAUGUGCUGUGAGCUCGAUGAGUAGGGCGGGACACGUGGUAUCCUGUCUGAAUAUGGGGGGACCAUCCUCCAAGGCUAAAUACUCCUGACUGACCGAUAGUGAACCAGUACCGUGAGGGAAAGGCGAAAAGAACCCCGGCGAGGGGAGUGAAAAAGAACCUGAAACCGUGUACGUACAAGCAGUGGGAGCACCCUUUGGGGUGUGACUGCGUACCUUUUGUAUAAUGGGUCAGCGACUUAUAUUCUGUAGCAAGGUUAACCGAAUAGGGGAGCCGGAGGGAAACCGAGUCUUAAUUGGGCGUUAAGUUGCAGGGUAUAGACCCGAAACCCGGUGAUCUAGCCAUGGGCAGGUUGAAGGUUGGGUAACACUAACUGGAGGACCGAACCGACUAAUGUUGAAAAAUUAGCGGAUGACCUGUGGCUGGGGGUGAAAGGCCAAUCAAACCGGGAGAUAGCUGGUUCUCCCCGAAAGCUAUUUAGGUAGCGCCUCGUGAAUUCAUCUCCGGGGGUAGAGCACUGUUUCGGCUAGGGGGCCAUCCCGGCUUACCAACCCGAUGCAAACUGCGAAUACCGGAGAAUGUUAUCACGGGAGACACACGGCGGGUGCUAACGUCCGUCGUGAAGAGGGAAACAACCCAGACCGCCAGCUAAGGUCCCAAAGUCAUGGUUAAGUGGGAAACGAUGUGGGAAGGCCCAGACAGCCAGGAUGUUGGCUUAGAAGCAGCCAUCAUUUAAAGAAAGCGUAAUAGCUCACUGGUCGAGUCGGCCUGCGCGGAAGAUGUAACGGGGCUAAACCAUGCACCGAAGCUGCGGCAGCGACACUCAGGUGUUGUUGGGUAGGGGAGCGUUCUGUAAGCCUGCGAAGGUGGCCUGUGAGGGUUGCUGGAGGUAUCAGAAGUGCGAAUGCUGACAUAAGUAACGAUAAAGCGGGUGAAAAGCCCGCUCGCCGGAAGACCAAGGGUUCCUGUCCAACGUUAAUCGGGGCAGGGUGAGUCGACCCCUAAGGCGAGGCCGAAAGGCGUAGUCGAUGGGAAACGGGUUAAUAUUCCCGUACUUGGUGUUACUGCGAAGGGGGGACGGAGAAGGCUAUGUUGGCCGGGCGACGGUUGUCCCGGUUUAAGCGUGUAGGCUGGUUUUCCAGGCAAAUCCGGAAAAUCAAGGCUGAGGCGUGACGACGAGGCACUACGGUGCUGAAGCAACAAAUGCCCUGCUUCCAGGAAAAGCCUCUAAGCAUCAGGUAACAUCAAAUCGUACCCCAAACCGACACAGGUGGUCAGGUAGAGAAUACCAAGGCGCUUGAGAGAACUCGGGUGAAGGAACUAGGCAAAAUGGUGCCGUAACUUCGGGAGAAGGCACGCUGACAUGUAGGUGAAGUGAUUUACUCAUGGAGCUGAAGUCAGUCGAAGAUACCAGCUGGCUGCAACUGUUUAUUAAAAACACAGCACUGUGCAAACACGAAAGUGGACGUAUACGGUGUGACGCCUGCCCGGUGCCGGAAGGUUAAUUGAUGGGGUCAGCGCAAGCGAAGCUCCUGAUCGAAGCCCCGGUAAACGGCGGCCGUAACUAUAACGGUCCUAAGGUAGCGAAAUUCCUUGUCGGGUAAGUUCCGACCUGCACGAAUGGCGUAAUGAUGGCCAGGCUGUCUCCACCCGAGACUCAGUGAAAUUGAACUCGCUGUGAAGAUGCAGUGUACCCGCGGCAAGACGGAAAGACCCCGUGAACCUUUACUAUAGCUUGACACUGAACAUUGAGCCUUGAUGUGUAGGAUAGGUGGGAGGCUUUGAAGUGUGGACGCCAGUCUGCAUGGAGCCGACCUUGAAAUACCACCCUUUAAUGUUUGAUGUUCUAACGUGGACCCGUGAUCCGGGUUGCGGACAGUGUCUGGUGGGUAGUUUGACUGGGGCGGUCUCCUCCUAAAGAGUAACGGAGGAGCACGAAGGUUGGCUAAUCCUGGUCGGACAUCAGGAGGUUAGUGCAAUGGCAUAAGCCAGCUUGACUGCGAGCGUGACGGCGCGAGCAGGUGCGAAAGCAGGUCAUAGUGAUCCGGUGGUUCUGAAUGGAAGGGCCAUCGCUCAACGGAUAAAAGGUACUCCGGGGAUAACAGGCUGAUACCGCCCAAGAGUUCAUAUCGACGGCGGUGUUUGGCACCUCGAUGUCGGCUCAUCACAUCCUGGGGCUGAAGUAGGUCCCAAGGGUAUGGCUGUUCGCCAUUUAAAGUGGUACGCGAGCUGGGUUUAGAACGUCGUGAGACAGUUCGGUCCCUAUCUGCCGUGGGCGCUGGAGAACUGAGGGGGGCUGCUCCUAGUACGAGAGGACCGGAGUGGACGCAUCACUGGUGUUCGGGUUGUCAUGCCAAUGGCACUGCCCGGUAGCUAAAUGCGGAAGAGAUAAGUGCUGAAAGCAUCUAAGCACGAAACUUGCCCCGAGAUGAGUUCUCCCUGAGACUUUAGGUCUCCUGAAGGAACGUUGAAGACGACGACGUUGAUAGGCCGGGUGUGUAAGCGCAGCGAUGCGUUGAGCUAACCGGUACUAAUGAACCGUGAGGCUUAACCUUACAACGCCGAAG